AACGAACGCUGGCGGCAGGCCUAACACAUGCAAGUCGAGCGCGCCCUUCGGGGUGAGCGGCGGACGGGUUAGUAACGCGUGGGAAUAUGCCCAAAGGUACGGAAUAGCCUCUGGAAACGGAGAGUAAUACCGUAUGUGCCCUUCGGGGGAAAGAUUUAUCGCCUUUGGAUUAGCCCGCGUUAGAUUAGGUAGUUGGUGGGGUAAUGGCCUACCAAGCCUACGAUCUAUAGCUGGUUUUAGAGGAUGAUCAGCAACACUGGGACUGAGACACGGCCCAGACUCCUACGGGAGGCAGCAGUGGGGAAUUUUCCGCAAUGGGCGAAAGCCUGACGGAGCAAGACCGCGUGGGGGAGGAAGGUUUUUGGAUCGUAAACCCCUUUUGUCAAGGAAGAAGCUCUGACGGUACUUGACGAAUAAGCCUCGGCUAACUCCGUGCCAGCG
Molecule: ribosomal RNA, 441 nt
Filed under: uncultured bacterium
Lineage: Bacteria
Description: bacterial SSU rRNA
Rfam family: Bacterial small subunit ribosomal RNA
Source: RNAcentral